RNAcentral lists this unclassified non-coding RNA (210 nucleotides) under Ramariopsis corniculata. Its description in RNAcentral is "internal transcribe spacer 2". The record is from RNAcentral. Lineage: Eukaryota; Fungi; Basidiomycota; Agaricomycetes; Agaricales; Clavariaceae.
AUAUCUCAACCUCAAAAUUCUUUUGUUUUUUUGAAGGCUUGGAUGGUGGAGGCUCAUGCUGGUGAAUAUAACUGGCUCCUCUUAAAUGCAUUAGCGGAACGUUUAUGAAUCGGCUUUGGUUUGAUAAUUAAAUCUAUGCCAUCGCUGAGGAGUUUGGUGUGUCUGCUUCUAACUGUCCUCUGGACUGCCUUCUUUGGCAUCACAUUUUAA